CAGUAGCCGCGGUAAAACAGAGGGUGCAAGCGUUAAUCGGAUUUACUGGGCGUAAAGGGUGCGUAGGCGGUUUGGCAAGUCUUGUGUGAAAUCUUCGGGCUCAACCCGAAGCCUGCACGAGAAACUACCGGGCUUGAGUAUUGGAGAGGUGAGUGGAAUUUCCGGUGUAGCGGUGAAAUGCGUAGAUAUCGGAAGGAACACCUGUGGCGAAAGCGGCUCACUGGACAAUAACUGACGCUGAUGCACGAAAGCGUGGGGAGCGAACAGGAUUAGAUACCCGGGUAGUCCCUGUCCUUAUACA
This 301-nucleotide ribosomal RNA is filed under the name uncultured bacterium. RNAcentral's name for it is "partial 16S ribosomal RNA". It matches the Rfam family "Bacterial small subunit ribosomal RNA", at positions 509 to 809 of the family's 1533-position model. The record is from RNAcentral.